This is a long non-coding RNA of Pongo pygmaeus (Bornean orangutan), 3828 nucleotides long. RefSeq lists it as uncharacterized. The record is from RefSeq and is a predicted model, not a curated record. Lineage: Eukaryota; Metazoa; Chordata; Mammalia; Primates; Hominidae. The transcript is spliced from 2 exons.
AGGCCGCCGCGGCGGCGCCCGCCUGCGCCUCCAUCCGGGUCCUGGCGCGCUGCUCUCCCGGCAGCGACGGGCGCGAAGGCCGGGGCAUUCCCACGGCGGCGACGGCCCUCUACGCGAACGCGAGGAAACCAGGAUUACCGAGGAGGAAAAAAAGCCUUCCUGUGGUGCUCAACUGUGAUUCCUUUUCAUCAUUCACCCUGGAUGUUCUCUUCACUGUGGGAUGAGGUAGUAGGUUGUAUAGUUUUAGGGUCACACCCACCACUGGGAGAUAACUAUACAAUCUACUGUCUUUCCUAACGUGAUAGAAAAGUCUGCAUCCAGGCGGUCUGAUAGAAAGUCAGUUAACUAAUUGUACAAUAUUUAAGAUUAACUUGUCUUAAAGAGAUGUAGUGCAGCAUUUGCUUAUGGCCUGGAAAUUUAUUACUUUAGAGAUAAAGUCUGUAGCAAGUACACUGGAUGGGGGUGGGGAAACCUUUUGCUGCUUGUCUUAUUUCUCUGUAUCAGAAUAAAUGUAUUUUUUUUAUUUUGAUUGAUGCUGAUAAUUUUAUGUUGAAAUUUUCUUUUGAAAGAGAUUGUACUUUCCAUUCCAGAAGAAAACAUUGCUCUAUCAGAGUGAGGUAGUAGAUUGUAUAGUUGUGGGGUAGUGAUUUUACCCUGUUCAGGAGAUAACUAUACAAUCUAUUGCCUUCCCUGAGGAGUAGACUUGCUGCAUUAUUUUGUUUUUAUCUAGAUGAUAUUAAAACUCAGAAGAAUUAAUUUUGACGUUUUGUAUUUACAGUUUAUCAGUUAAUUUUCUCUGUUCAAGUAGUACAGUAGGCACAGAGAUUAACAUUUAAAUUUUUCACAUAUGGUAUAUUUCAGAAAUUUGAAGUUAAGCAAAAAUCUUAAUGAGUAGAGAAAGUAAGUAGCCUUCCGGAAAUCUUAAUAGAGGACCAGGGCCUUUUGGAAUUGUGAAUAGAUUUAUUGCCUUACAUCCUGGUACACAUGUCCAAGGUGAGGUCCCGGGUGGUAAAGGUAAAUACAAAUUGGAAGGGCACUGUGUGAGCCAAAACGAGUCAGAUUAGUCAUGAUUCAUUUCCAGUUUGGGUUUUGGGUGGUCUUGGAGAAUGUUGUAAGCACUGCUUCAUUGAUAGGUUGAUUGAGCCAGACUUUACUCAGCAGCGUGGAAAAGGAGAGAUGGGCUCUGGGUUCUACCUUUGCUUACUGGUAAGUUGCUCAGAUCUCAGCUUUGCCCUCAAACCCUGAAGUAGUCUUUCAUUCACACAGUGGGAUCACUCGAAAAUGUCAGAUGGGGAAGUCCAUAGGUUGUUACUUUAAAGAAAAUAGAAAAACUGCUGGAAAAGGUUUCUUGAAUUUUAAUACCCAUGAAGGCCCAUGUUUUAGCUUUCCUCCGAUGGGCAAACCAUACACUAACUUGGGCCUUGUAAUCAACAAGCAAGGCUAAAAGCUCUCUAAGUGCUUGCUGUUUAAACUAUUUUGUGUUGGAAGAAGAGUUGGAAAAGAGGCAGUGUGGAGGUGAGGGAGAAGUUCCCUCCCUCUCCAAUCAUUUCCAAUAAAUGGAAAUUUAAGGAGAAAUUUGUGUUUAUCCUUAAUAUCUAAGAUAAUCACUGUGCAGUGCCAUUGGUACUUUUCAUGAGAGUAGAAACAUCAAACUUCCUUGGAUGGGCCCAACCCAGGUGACUUACUCUGAACCAAAUGUAUGCUUUUUGUUUUAUCCACUGUGGACAGCUGCAUAGAUAAUUGGUCUUUGUUCUAAUCUGCACAUAAAAACAUGGGAGAAAAUGACAUUUGUUGCCUUUUGGUGUGCCAAAGAAGAGUGGGAAUGUUCUAAGAAUUCUCUUUGGCUUAAUCUUUGUUGAACUGAAAAUAUGUAUAACUCUUUUGCUGAAAGUGUAGCAAGUACAGUCAUGAAAUUUUGUGGUCUUCCUGACACAUGUUCUUCCAGCAUAACGUUGCCACCCUCAGUUGGAAACGUAUCCUUAUCUAAUAAUUAAGCCCUGGAGAAAAAUUAAUUUAUGUAUUUUAUUAAUUACAUAAGGACAUUGUUAUUAGCUGAGCAGAGUAAGUAAAUCAAAAUAAAACUUUAAAAAUGCCUUUAUGGAGAGAAUGACUAUCUCUGAAAGCUUGUUUUUAAUGAUGAUAAAAUUCAUGAUCAGAAUUUGUUUCUGUUUACUUUAAUUCAGGGGUCAAAACUGAAAUACCAUCAGAGGCCCAGGAGGGGCUAGCUGUAACUGGCAAAUAUAGUAAAUUAAUUUGCUCUGGUUGAUGGGUAGCAAGCAGGGUUUAUAUACAUUGUCACCUACUUUUCCAGUUAACAGGAGAGACUGGAGAUUUUAUGAAAUUUGAUAUUUAAAUGUUGGUAAUUGGGUUGGGCACCAUGGCUCACACCUCUAAUCCCAACACUUCGGGAGGCUGAGGUGGGUGGAGCACCUGAGGUCAGGAGUUAAAGACCAUCCUGACCAACGCGGUGAAACACAGUCUCUAAUAAAGAUACAAAAAUUAGGCCAGGCAUGGUGGCUCAUGCCUGUAAUCCCAGCACUUUGGGAGGCCAAGGUGGGCGGAUCACCUGAGUCAGGAGUUCAAGACCAGCCUGCCUAACAUGGUGAAAACCUGUUUCUACUAAAAAUACAAAAAAGUAGCUGGGCAUGGUGGUGGGCGCCUGUAAUCCAGCUACUCGGGGGGCUGAGGCAGGAGAAUCACUUGAACCCAGGAGGCGGAGGUUGCAGUGAGCCGAGAUCACACCACUGUACUCCAGCCUGGGUGACAGAGCGAGACUCUGUCCAAAAAACAAAAUUGGUAAUUAAAUGUUAAAAGUCAGUGACUCCAGUAAUAUGUGGUGGGCUGAGUAUUAGACUGCUGGCUUACAUCCUCUGAUGUAAUUACUUUCUUGUUCCUUUGUGACUUGAGGUUGGAUUUUAAGCAGAUAUAUUUGUGGCUUUUUACCAAGGUCAUAUGGCCAGAUAACUUUUCAAAAGCAUUAAAGAAUUCUGAUUAGUUUGAAUUUCAAACAAAACUCAAAGAACAUGACCUAUAAUUUAACAGGUUAAUUUGAAGUGCAUCUACCAAGUAGAAGACCAGCAAGAAAAAAAAAAUGGGUUCCUAGGAAGAGGUAGUAGGUUGCAUAGUUUUAGGGCAGGGAUUUUGCCCACAAGGAGGUAACUAUACGACCUGCUGCCUUUCUUAGGGCCUUAUUAUUCACCGAUAACCUGUUUCCUUGCUACUUUGCUUUGGUGUAAGCAGAGUUCUUUCUGCAGGUUUUCUCAAAUGAAAACAUUGCAAGAAUAUCAAAGAGAGCAGUGUUUGCGUUAGUGAUUUAUAAACUGCAGCAUGGUGCUGACAUUGAUAACUGAAAGUCAACUAAUGAGAAUUUGAGACUUCUGAAGUACACUUAAGUUGCUGGUGUCUCUCCCUUUUGGGGACACUGGAAAGUUUAGAAAGCAUAGUUUUGUUUUGCUCAGGUUUCUCUUUCUGUGAUGCAGAGACUCUCAGCUGUUCCUCCUCUAUGUCUACAUUAUGUCUGAAGGAAAGAAUUUAACAAAACUUGAAAUAUUGCUGUUUUUCUACAAUGUUUGUAAAUAUUUAUCUUGCCGCUUUUCUAGGUUUGUCUUCUGGAUUUAAAAUUUGGGGCGGCUGGGGUGGAAUUGCAUGGUUUGGGAAUGGGUAAUUGAGCUGCUGCUCAUUAUGGUAUGUAACAGCGAUUUGUCUGUUUAAUAUGUACAAGAACUGGAAGGUCAAUAAAAUGAAAAUGGUUGUCUUGACCGGGUAAUGGUGUUACAUGUUUUGUUAAAGUUAUACAUCUUUUCAAUAAAAACACUGCAUACUUCAAAA